CCACACCGUAAACGAUGAGUGUUAGGUGUCGGGGGUCAAACCUCGGUGCCGACGCAAACGCAUUAAACACUCCGCCUGGGGAGUACGUUCGCAAGAAUGAAACUCAAAGGAAUUGACGGGGACCCGCACAAGCAGCGGAGCAUGUGGUUUAAUUCGAAGCAACGCGAAGAACCUUACCGGGGCUUGACAUAUAUCUGACCCUCUUAGAGAUAAGAACUUUCUUCGGAACAGAUAUACAGGUGGUGCAUGGUUGU
This 254-nucleotide ribosomal RNA is filed under the name uncultured bacterium. RNAcentral's name for it is "partial 16S ribosomal RNA". It matches the Rfam family "Bacterial small subunit ribosomal RNA", at positions 795 to 1052 of the family's 1533-position model. The record is from RNAcentral.